Molecule: transfer RNA, 85 nt
Filed under: Candidatus Cryptobacteroides aphodequi
Lineage: Bacteria; Pseudomonadati; Bacteroidota; Bacteroidia; Bacteroidales
Description: tRNA-Leu
Rfam family: tRNA
About the family: Transfer RNA (tRNA) molecules are approximately 80 nucleotides in length. Their secondary structure includes four short double-helical elements and three loops (D, anti-codon, and T loops).
Source: RNAcentral
GCCUUGGUGGUGGAAUGGUAGACACGAGGGACUUAAAAUCCCUUGGGCAGAAAUGCCUGUAUGGGUUCGAGUCCCAUCCGAGGCA